GGUUAAGCGACUAAGCGUACACGGUGGAUGCCCUGGCAGUCAGAGGCGAUGAAGGACGUGCUAAUCUGCGAUAAGCGUCGGUAAGGUGAUAUGAACCGUUAUAACCGGCGAUUUCCGAAUGGGGAAACCCAGUGUGUUUCGACACACUAUCAUUAACUGAAUCCAUAGGUUAAUGAGGCGAACCGGGGGAACUGAAACAUCUAAGUACCCCGAGGAAAAGAAAUCAACCGAGAUUCCCCCAGUAGCGGCGAGCGAACGGGGAGGAGCCCAGAGCCUGAAUCAGUGUGUGUGUUAGUGGAAGCGUCUGGAAAGGCGCGCGAUACAGGGUGACAGCCCCGUACACAAAAAUGCACAUACUGUGAGCUCGAUGAGUAGGGCGGGACACGUGGUAUCCUGUCUGAAUAUGGGGGGACCAUCCUCCAAGGCUAAAUACUCCUGACUGACCGAUAGUGAACCAGUACCGUGAGGGAAAGGCGAAAAGAACCCCGGCGAGGGGAGUGAAAAAGAACCUGAAACCGUGUACGUACAAGCAGUGGGAGCCUCUUUUAUGGGGUGACUGCGUACCUUUUGUAUAAUGGGUCAGCGACUUAUAUUCUGUAGCAAGGUUAACCGAAUAGGGGAGCCGAAGGGAAACCGAGUCUUAACUGGGCGUUAAGUUGCAGGGUAUAGACCCGAAACCCGGUGAUCUAGCCAUGGGCAGGUUGAAGGUUGGGUAACACUAACUGGAGGACCGAACCGACUAAUGUUGAAAAAUUAGCGGAUGACUUGUGGCUGGGGGUGAAAGGCCAAUCAAACCGGGAGAUAGCUGGUUCUCCCCGAAAGCUAUUUAGGUAGCGCCUCGUGAAUUCAUCUCCGGGGGUAGAGCACUGUUUCGGCAAGGGGGUCAUCCCGACUUACCAACCCGAUGCAAACUGCGAAUACCGGAGAAUGUUAUCACGGGAGACACACGGCGGGUGCUAACGUCCGUCGUGAAGAGGGAAACAACCCAGACCGCCAGCUAAGGUCCCAAAGUCAUGGUUAAGUGGGAAACGAUGUGGGAAGGCCCAGACAGCCAGGAUGUUGGCUUAGAAGCAGCCAUCAUUUAAAGAAAGCGUAAUAGCUCACUGGUCGAGUCGGCCUGCGCGGAAGAUGUAACGGGGCUAAACCAUGCACCGAAGCUGCGGCAGCGACGCUUAUGCGUUGUUGGGUAGGGGAGCGUUCUGUAAGCCUGCGAAGGUGUGCUGUGAGGCAUGCUGGAGGUAUCAGAAGUGCGAAUGCUGACAUAAGUAACGAUAAAGCGGGUGAAAAGCCCGCUCGCCGGAAGACCAAGGGUUCCUGUCCAACGUUAAUCGGGGCAGGGUGAGUCGACCCCUAAGGCGAGGCCGAAAGGCGUAGUCGAUGGGAAACAGGUUAAUAUUCCUGUACUUGGUGUUACUGCGAAGGGGGGACGGAGAAGGCUAUGUUGGCCGGGCGACGGUUGUCCCGGUUUAAGCGUGUAGGCUGGUUUUCCAGGCAAAUCCGGAAAAGGAGAAGGCUAUGUUGGCCGGGCGACGGUUGUCCCGGUUUAAGCGUGUAGGCUGGUUUUCCAGGCAAAUCCGGAAAACCAAGGCUGAGGCGUGAUGACGAGGCACUACGGUGCUGAAGCGACAAAUGCCCUGCUUCCAGGAAAAGCCUCUAAGCAUCAGGUAACAUCAAAUCGUACCCCAAACCGACACAGGUGGUCAGGUAGAGAAUACCAAGGCGCUUGAGAGAACUCGGGUGAAGGAACUAGGCAAAAUGGUGCCGUAACUUCGGGAGAAGGCACGCUGAUAUGUAGGUGAAGCGACUUGCUCGUGGAGCUGAAAUCAGUCGAAGAUACCAGCUGGCUGCAACUGUUUAUUAAAAACACAGCACUGUGCAAACACGAAAGUGGACGUAUACGGUGUGACGCCUGCCCGGUGCCGGAAGGUUAAUUGAUGGGGUUAGCGGUAACGCGAAGCUCUUGAUCGAAGCCCCGGUAAACGGCGGCCGUAACUAUAACGGUCCUAAGGUAGCGAAAUUCCUUGUCGGGUAAGUUCCGACCUGCACGAAUGGCGUAAUGAUGGCCAGGCUGUCUCCACCCGAGACUCAGUGAAAUUGAACUCGCUGUGAAGAUGCAGUGUACCCGCGGCAAGACGGAAAGACCCCGUGAACCUUUACUAUAGCUUGACACUGAACAUUGAGCCUUGAUGUGUAGGAUAGGUGGGAGGCUUUGAAGUGUGGACGCCAGUCUGCAUGGAGCCGACCUUGAAAUACCACCCUUUAAUGUUUGAUGUUCUAACGUUGGCCCGUAAUCCGGGUUGCGGACAGUGUCUGGUGGGUAGUUUGACUGGGGCGGUCUCCUCCUAAAGAGUAACGGAGGAGCACGAAGGUUGGCUAAUCCUGGUCGGACAUCAGGAGGUUAGUGCAAUGGCAUAAGCCAGCUUGACUGCGAGCGUGACGGCGCGAGCAGGUGCGAAAGCAGGUCAUAGUGAUCCGGUGGUUCUGAAUGGAAGGGCCAUCGCUCAACGGAUAAAAGGUACUCCGGGGAUAACAGGCUGAUACCGCCCAAGAGUUCAUAUCGACGGCGGUGUUUGGCACCUCGAUGUCGGCUCAUCACAUCCUGGGGCUGAAGUAGGUCCCAAGGGUAUGGCUGUUCGCCAUUUAAAGUGGUACGCGAGCUGGGUUUAGAACGUCGUGAGACAGUUCGGUCCCUAUCUGCCGUGGGCGCUGGAGAACUGAGGGGGGCUGCUCCUAGUACGAGAGGACCGGAGUGGACGCAUCACUGGUGUUCGGGUUGUCAUGCCAAUGGCACUGCCCGGUAGCUAAAUGCGGAAGAGAUAAGUGCUGAAAGCAUCUAAGCACGAAACUUGCCCCGAGAUGAGUUCUCCCUGAGACUUUAAGUCUCCUGAAGGAACGUUGAAGACGACGACGUUGAUAGGCCGGGUGUGUAAGCGCAGCGAUGCGUUGAGCUAACCGGUACUAAUGAACCGUGAGGCUUAACCUU
RNAcentral lists this ribosomal RNA (2983 nucleotides) under Escherichia coli. Its description in RNAcentral is "23S ribosomal RNA". It matches the Rfam family "Bacterial large subunit ribosomal RNA". Lineage: Bacteria; Pseudomonadati; Pseudomonadota; Gammaproteobacteria; Enterobacterales; Enterobacteriaceae. The record is from RNAcentral.